AAACAUGUCCUUUUGUUAAUAAUUUAAGGUCAAGCCUGCCCAAUGAUUAUUUAAAUGGCCGCAGUAUAUUGACUGUGCAAAGGUAGCAUAAUCAUUAGUUUCUUAAUUAGAAGCUGGAAUGAAUGGUUUGAUGAGAAAUUAACUGUCUCGGGCUAGAUGAAUUAGAAUUUUAUUUUUAAGUGAGAAAGCUUAAAUUUUUUAGAAAGACGAGAAGACCCUAUAGAGUUUGAUGUUUAUUUUAGUAAAAUUUUAAAGGUUUUUUAUAAUGUUUUAUUUUUAUAAGCAUUUUGUUGGGGUGACAUAAAAAUUUAUUAAACUUUUUAUUAUUUUUACAUUGAUUAAUGAUUUUUUGAUCCUAUUUUUUAGAUUAUAAGAUAAAAUUACCUUAGGGAUAACAGCGUAAUUUUUCCUGAAAGUUCUUAUUGACGGGGAAGUUUGCGACCUCGAUGUUGGAUUAAAAUUUAUUUUUGGUGUAGCAGCUGAAAUAUUAGGUCUGUUCGACCUUUGAAAUUUUACAUGAUCU
RNAcentral lists this ribosomal RNA (523 nucleotides) under Gonocephalum adpressiforme. RNAcentral describes it as "partial 16S ribosomal RNA". It matches the Rfam family "Bacterial large subunit ribosomal RNA", at positions 1811 to 2606 of the family's 2925-position model. Lineage: Eukaryota; Metazoa; Arthropoda; Insecta; Coleoptera; Tenebrionidae. The record is from RNAcentral.